Molecule: ribosomal RNA, 254 nt
Filed under: uncultured bacterium
Lineage: Bacteria
Description: partial 16S ribosomal RNA
Rfam family: Bacterial small subunit ribosomal RNA
Source: RNAcentral
UACGAAGGGGGCUAGCGUUGCUCGGAAUCACUGGGCGUAAAGCGCACGUAGGCGGAUCUUUAAGUCAGGGGUGAAAUCCCAAGGCUCAACCUUGGAACUGCCUUUGAUACUGGGGGAUCUCGAGUCCGGAAGAGGUGAGUGGAACUGCGAGUGUAGAGGUGAAAUUCGUAGAUAUCGGGAGGAACACCAGUGGCGAAGGCGGCGAUCUGGGAAGAUACUGACGCUGAGGUGCGAAAGCGUGGGGAGCAAACAGG